Molecule: ribosomal RNA, 253 nt
Filed under: uncultured bacterium
Lineage: Bacteria
Description: partial 16S ribosomal RNA
Rfam family: Bacterial small subunit ribosomal RNA
Source: RNAcentral
UACGGAGGGAGCUAGCGUUGUUCGGAAUUACUGGGCGUAAAGCGCGCGUAGGCGGCUUUGUAAGUUAGAGGUGAAAGCCCGGGGCUCAACCCCGGAAUUGCCUUUAAGACUGCAUCGCUUGAAUCCGGGAGAGGUGAGUGGAAUUCCGAGUGUAGAGGUGAAAUGCGUAGAUAUCAGGAGGAACACCGGUGGCGAAGGCGGGUCUCUGGGCCGAUACUGACGCUGAGGAGCGAAAGCGUGGGGAGCGAACAGG